This 3473-nucleotide long non-coding RNA is filed under the name Homo sapiens (human). Its description in RNAcentral is "non-protein coding LINC01278:26". Lineage: Eukaryota; Metazoa; Chordata; Mammalia; Primates; Hominidae. The record is from RNAcentral.
GCUAGGUUCCGGAACCUGACCUGAGCUGGGGCCUGUGCUUCCAGCGGGUGGUGGGGGGCCUGGUGUGCUGGCAUCAAGUAAGCCGACUACCUCGGCAAAGGCUUAGGGACAAGAGACCAGCAGCCUGAACUGGCUGGGGCAUCCGGAAGGCUUAGAUCUUGUGGCCAAGAGUUCAGACCGUGGCGAAGUGGAGAGUGACAUGCAGUUGGAUGGCGGUGACUGCGUGAGUUUUGUCCUUACUGCCCAGUCUGGAGUGCAAUGGCACAAUCUUGGCUCACCACAACCUCCGCCUCCUGGGUUCAAGCGAUUCUCCUGCCUCAGCAUCCUGAGUCACUGGGAUUACAGGCAUGUGCCACCACACCUGGCUAAUUUUGUAUUUUUAGUAAAGACAGGGUUUUUCUAUGUUGGUCAGGCUGGUCUCGAACUCACAACCUCAGGUUAUCCGCCCACCUCGGCCUCCGAAAGUGCUGGGAUUACAGGAAUGAGCCACCGCACCCAGCCUGCAGCUAAAGAUUUUUAAAAAUUGAAUACAAUUUAUGUCAGUAAAAUGGUAGACUAAGAACUCUGAGGGAAAAAAGCAAGGGAAAAAAAACUCACAAUCAACACUGUAGGAACUCUGUAAAUUAAUCAAAUGUGUAUAGAAACCUAGGGAAUAAAAUGGAGAAAAAUGGCUGAAUACCAUUAAGAAUAGGGAGCUUUAUCCAUUUUAACUUCUACUGAUACUAUUCCCUAUAUUCCAGCUUGUCUGAACCCGUGGAAAAUAUAACAGUUCACCUUAUUGAUACUAAAGAGAGCAUGUCAGUGGUAUACAUCUUUCAAAGCCAUAUUCCCAAAGAAUAGUCACUCUUUAACAUGUUUAGUUGUCCCUGGAACACCCAACUUGAAAAUGUAGUCAUUAUUUUGCCUGAUUUAGGACUCAGUAUUAAAAACCACUUUCUGUGGACAUGACUCAAAAACAUUUAAAUACAAUUGUUUUAGUUGCUCCAGCCUGAGAUAAUGGAUAUUAGGCAAACAAUAGAUUGUCCAACAAACUUAAGAGGAAAAGAUGAGGAGUGAAUAAUGCAUAUGGGCUUGGAAAUGUUUCAACCAAUUUGGGGGAUACUAAAAAGACAAAUGCAUGCAUAGAAAUGUGGGCAUGCUAAACAGAGACCUGAACAGGCCCAAAGAUAUGACUUCUGGCUGACUUUGAGUAUCUAGGUAAACAGAAAGUGAAGACUAAGAAACAGGUGCAGACCAUCUGGCUGAGUGUUGAAGUCAAUGCCCCAGCAUGCACACUGAGACCCUUGGCAAAAGGGGAUUUUACUAUUAAUGAUAAAAGAAUAAAAUGUGUCAUAAAAAAUACUGUGAACAGUUGUAUGACAAAUUGAAUAACAUAGAUGAAAUAGACAAAUUCCUAGAAUGACAGAAACUGCUGUCAUAAAGGCAUAAAGACAUUUAGUCGGUAUCUUAAAAACUUCCAACAAAGAAAAGCCGAGAUUAGAUGUAACCACUCAAAAAUAUUACCAAAUGCUUAAAGGAUGAAUGGCACUACUCCUCAAACUAUUCUAAACCAUAGAAUUAGAGGGAAUAAUUCUUAGCAUAUACUGUGGGGCCAGUAUAGUCACAAUGCCAAUGCCAGACAACAAAGUAACAAGAAAAGAAAUCUUCAGAAUGCACAAGCUUCAGUAGCUGAUUCGAUCAAAUGGAAGACAGGGUAUCAGUGACUGAAGAUCAAAUGAAUGAAAUGAAGUGAGAAGAGAAGUUUAGAGAAAAAAGAGUAAAAAGAAAUGAACAAAGACUCCAAGAAAUAUGGGACUAUGUGAAAAGACCAAAUCUAUGUCUGAUUGAUGUACCUGAAAGUGACGGGGAGAAUGGAACCAAGUUGGAAAACACUCUUCAGGAUAUUAUCCAGGAGAACUUGCCCAACCUAGCAAGGCAGGCCAACAUUCAAAUGCAGAAAUUACAGAGAACUCCUCGAGAUACAAGAUACUCCUUGAGAAGAACAACUCCAAGACACAUAAUUGUCAGGUUCACCAAAGUUGAAAUGAAGGAACAAAUAUUAAGGGCAGCCAGAGAGAAAGGUCGGGUUUCCCACAAAGGGAAGCCCAUCAGACUAACAGUGGAUCUCUUGGCAAAAACUCUACAAGCCAGUAGAGAGUGGGAGCCAAUAUUCAACAUUCUUAAAGAAAAGAAUUUUCAACCCAGAAUUUCAUAUCCAGCCAAACUAAGCUUCAUAAGUGAAGGAGAAGUAAAAUCCUUUACAGAUGAUCAAAUGCUGAGAGAUUUUGUCACCACCAGGCCUGCCCUACAAGAGCUCCUGAAGGAAGCACUAAAAAUAGAAAGGAACAACCAGUACCAGCCACUGCAAAAACAUGCCAAAUUGUAAAGAUCAUCGAUGCUAGGAAGAAACUGCAUCAACUAACGAGCAAAAUAACCAGCUAACAUCAUAAUGACAGGAUCAAAUUCACACAUAAGGAUAUUAACCUUAAAUGUAAAUGAGCUAAAUGCUCCAAUUAAAAGACACAGACUGGCACAUUGGAUAGAGUCAAGACACAUCAGUGUGCUGUAUUCAGGAGACCCAUCUCACGUGCAGAGAAACACAUAGGCUCAAAAUAAAGGGAUGGAUGAAGAUCUACCAAGCAAAGAGAAAACAGAAAAAUGCAGGGGUUGCAAUCCUAGUCCCUGAUAAAACAGACUUUAAACCAACAAAGAUCAAAAGAGACAAAGAAGACCAUUACAUAAUGGUAAAGGGAUCAAUUCAACAAGGAGAGCUAACCUGAAUAUAUAUGCACCCAAUACAGGAGUACCCAGAUUCAUAAAGCAAGUCCUUAGAGACCUACAAAGAGACUUAGACUCCCACACAGUAAUAAUGGGAGACUUUAACACCCUACUGUCAACAUUAGACAGAUCAAUAAGACAGAUAGUUAACAAGGAUAUCCAGUAAUUGAACUGAGCUCUGCACCAAGUGGACCUAAUAGACAUCUACAGAACUCUCCACCCCAAAUCAACAGAAUAUAUAUUCCUUUCAGCACCACAUCCCACUUAUUCCAAAAUUGACCACGUAGUUGGAAGUAAAGCACUCUUCAGCAAAUGUAAAAGAACACAAAUUAUAACAAACUGUCUCUCAGACCACAGUGCAAUCAAACUAGAACUCAGGAGUAAGAAACUCACUCAAAACCGCUCAACUACAUGGAAACUGAACAACCUGCUCCUGAAUGACUACUGGGUACAUAGCAAAAUGACGGCAGAAAUAAAGAUGUUCUUUGAAACCAAUGAGAACAAAGACACAACCUACCGGAAUCUCUGGGACACAUUUAAAGCAGUGUGUAGAGGGAAAUUUAUAGCACUAAAUGCCCGCAAGAGAAAGCAGGAAAGAUCCAAAAUUGACACCCUAACAUCACAAUUAAAAGAACUAGAGAAGCAAGAGCAAACACAUUCAAAAGCUGGCAGAAGGCAAGAAAUAACUAAGAUCAGAGCAGAACUGAAGGAGAUAG